This 565-nucleotide ribosomal RNA is filed under the name uncultured archaeon. RNAcentral's name for it is "bacterial SSU rRNA". It matches the Rfam family "Archaeal small subunit ribosomal RNA", at positions 293 to 859 of the family's 1478-position model. The record is from RNAcentral.
GAGAUGGAUUCUGAGACACGAAUCCAGGCCCUACGGGGUGCAGCAGGCGCGAAAACUUUACAAUGCUGGAAACAGCGAUAAGGGGACCUCGAGUGCCAGGAUACAAUCCUGGCUGUCGUAAUGCCUAAAAAGCAUUGCAUACAAGGGCCGGGCAAGACCGGUGCCAGCCGCCGCGGUAACACCGGCGGCUCGAGUGGUAACCGCUAUUAUUGGGUCUAAAGGGUCUGUAGCCGGCUGACUAAGUCUCUUGGGAAAUCUGACAGCUUAACUGUCAGGCUUUCAGGAGAUACUGAUCGGCUCGAGACCGGGAGAGGUGAGAGGUACCUCAGGGGUAGGGGUGAAAUCUUGUAAUCCUUGAGGGACCACCAGUGGCGAAGGCGUCUCACCAGAACGGAUCUGACGGCAAGGGACGAAAGCUAGGGGCACGAACCGGAUUAGAUACCCGGGUAGUCCUAGCCGUAAACGAUACUCGCUAGGUGUCGGCCACGGUGCGACCGUGGUCGGUGCCGUAGGGAAGCCGUGAAGCGAGCCACCUGGGAAGUACGGCCGCAAGGCUGAAACUUAA